GGGCACUGGCAUAGGCUACUUUUUACUUUCUCUUAUCGGUACAGGUAGCCUAGUCCUCAAGAGAAACGUCUUCAGUGUAAAAAUUGCCUCAGGGGUGCAUGAGUCAUUGAGCGAAUAAGAAGCAGCUGGUUUGAAACGAGAGAACCCCAGAAUUUGUGAAUAAAACACGUGGUUCGGGAGCUCGAACAUUUGAUUGGCUGGAUUUUGGUGCAGUCUGAUAGAAGUGUCAUUGUGACGGAAGGCUGCAGAACCGGGCCAUAGGAAUUCUGCGGGCGCAUUCCGCUCUGUCUCUAUGACAACGGCUAUAUUAGUAAAAGGGUCUGAUCCGGAUCGAGCGUGGGCUAAGAAACGCGAAUAUGGGUAUCUCGUACAACAACUGUCUCUAAAUAUGAAAACCGGACGCCCUAGAGAUCACUUAUUACCAAUAUAGUGCAUGUAAACGUAUAACAUCUCACCUAUCAGUAUUGAUGUGCAUAAAUGCCCUUCCUCUUGACAGUGAAGCAGUGAGGCUGCAGAUGAGCCGUAGCAACCACGGACGGAUGCAGCCGUAGGAAUGCGGUUGCCGUGGAAACGCCAGCAGCGGGAAGCGAGAUCCAGGGACCACAGAAAGGAUGAAGCCGACAAUUAAUAUUUAACACUGUUUCCUUUCUAUUUUUGCCAGAGAUGACUGUCAAACCUUUGGUGGGAAUGUGGGAUUAGUCGCUAGAGAAUGCCAUUAUAAAGAAGCCUGAAUACUAAUGAAUUCAGAAGGUAUGGGCGAGAAAGACAACAAGAGAGAGAGGGAGAUUCACUGGACAGAGAUUCACUUCCAACCUUUCAUGUUUCCACUGAAACACAAAUACAUGAAGGCCCAGGCUUCUUACCUGUAAACUAUGUUGUAGUAUUGCUACAGUUUUUGGCAGAUAACUGAAUAAUAGGCUAAAGGUACAAAUUGCUCCUUAUCAACUCAAUUGGACACAAGAUAACUCCCUUUUUUUUGCUUUAAACAAUAUCUAAU
Molecule: long non-coding RNA, 997 nt
Organism: Cyprinus carpio carpio
Lineage: Eukaryota; Metazoa; Chordata; Actinopteri; Cypriniformes; Cyprinidae
Source: Ensembl